UGAUCCUAAAUUGGCAAGGCCAUCUCUCCAACAAAUCAGUUCUCAUCAAUCUCAUGCCUUUGAGCCAACUUCCGAGCUAAAUCCACGAUCAGGUCAUUAAAUACUUUAGCAAACAUCUUUAUGACCUCUCUAGUAACAAUUAAAAUUCAACAAAGAAAAUUGCACAAAUUAAUACAACAGUAAGCGAUUAAACCCUUUUCCUUCCCAGUCACAAUUCCCAAACAAUAAACAGGGUCCAGUGUCACCCAAUGCUCACUCCUAACUACAAUUAUAUGACAUUAGUUGUGCUUCUAAAAUAUUAUUAUUUUUUGCUAAAUAAGCCAAUUAAAAUUAUGACAAAUUUGGGAACUAGCAUCGAAUAGUUGAUUCUCUUUGCAUUUUAAACCAAGCACAAAAGACUAGGCUAAAUUAUAUAAGAAAAAUUGCUCACUAAGAAGGAUUAUUGCGAUUGAACUAUGAAACUUUCAGUAACUUUACAUUGAGCUAUUUGGGUGCAUAGCAAUGGCUUCUAAAUGAAGAUGCAACAUUGAAAAAAAGUAUUAAGAUAUAAUCCAAUUUACCGUGCAACAAAAGCCUACAUUGCUCAUCUGUUAGCAAGACUUGAACCAAAACAAAAUACUUCAAGAGGACAAGGAAGGAGAAUUCUUAAAACUGACCCAUACUCACUAUAUCAGAAUGCAGAUCCACCAUCCUUUGUCUUCCCAAGCAUCACGUCUUUGGCUUCGUUGAUUUUGGAAGCAAGGUAAUGGCUACCUCCAGCAUCAGGAUGAUUUGCUACCAUUACUUUUCUAUGUGCUUCCUUGACCUUAUCUGAUGUUGCAUUCUCCCUGACACCAAGAAUGAGAGCUGCUUCUCUUCUGGUCAUCUUAGGCUGAAAACCACCGUCAUAGAACUUGCGAAUUCUGGGUUUAGGGGGUCGAGCCUUGAAUGCUUGCCAAGCUUGGAUUCCAUACCUACCAGCAAGAGCAGCUGCAGCAACUGCAAGCCCAGCCAAAAAGGGAGUGGCCUGAUAUUUACAUCAUUUUUACUGGAAUUGAAACUUGUGAGAUUGUAUUUGCUUAGGUUUGAAUCGAAAUCUUGCUAAAAAUCUCUCUUCUUUUAGGCUUUGGGAGAUGGGUGUGUAGUUUUGGAUUAAAACAGAAAAAUUGAAUUAGAU
Molecule: unclassified non-coding RNA, 1156 nt
Filed under: Hevea brasiliensis (rubber tree)
Lineage: Eukaryota; Viridiplantae; Streptophyta; Magnoliopsida; Malpighiales; Euphorbiaceae
Source: RNAcentral